GGAGGCGUGCCAGAGUGGUUGAAUGGGCCGCACUCGAAAUGCGGUAUCCCAUUUUUGGGAUCGGAGGUUCGAAUCCUCCCGCCUCCGCCA
Molecule: transfer RNA, 90 nt
Filed under: Parcubacteria group bacterium
Lineage: Bacteria
Also listed under: 1 other name
Description: tRNA-Ser
Rfam family: tRNA
About the family: Transfer RNA (tRNA) molecules are approximately 80 nucleotides in length. Their secondary structure includes four short double-helical elements and three loops (D, anti-codon, and T loops).
Source: RNAcentral